Molecule: non-coding RNA, 3664 nt
Organism: Pelobates cultripes (western spadefoot toad)
Lineage: Eukaryota; Metazoa; Chordata; Amphibia; Anura; Pelobatidae
Source: the annotation of a GenBank genome assembly
AACAGUAUUCAUGCAGUAAAACCACUCCUGCUCUCAGGAAAACAAAAUGACAGUUAAAAGGGUCAGACAGAGUUUGAAAAUAUGACAGUUAUAAGGUCAGACAGAGUUUGAAAAUAUGACAGUUAUAAGGUCAGACAGAGUUUGAAAAUAUGACAGUUAUAAGGUCAGACAGAGUUUGAAAAUAUGACAGUUAUCAAGGGUUUAAACUGGUGUUCUAAGAGGGGGGAGAACAAAACAGUCGAACUAAGUCCAUAAAACAGGGGCCUUCUUCACAGUCAUAUUGGCUGCUUAUGCCUCUGCUGGAAAUUAAGUGUCAGUUCUUCUGCUUAGAUAUAAUUUUCCAAGAGAUAAUUACCACCUUACAUAUGUUUCUUUUUGUGCUGUGCCUGUACUGUAUUCUAUACUGAAUAAAAUCAAAGCAUAGCAUUCCUCACUGCAAAAUACAUUUGACACAAGAUAUGAGGUUUAAAAACACAAAAUUCAGCAUAUAAGGAUUAAGAUCCCAUAGGCAUGUUACCAGUUUGGGCCCCCUUUUCAUUCUACUCGUAGGGAUGGUUAAUAAGGCCAGGUGAAUCCAUGGUUCUGAGGCCCCUGUCUUACCCCAUGGCCAUUGGUGGCAGCUUUUGGUUGUGUUAUGGUUAAUCCUGCUUUGAAGCUAUGGGAAUGAUAGUAGUACUAAAAGUUAAAAAUUCUUCACAUGGAAUUCCUUAGUCCCAUCACUCUUCUUUUGUUUGUGGGUUGGGGGACAUGGUGCCUCAGAGAUCCCAGAAGAUAUUCAAAUUCAAAACCUACAGGGCUGAAGUGAUGUUGGAGCUAAUCACGAUUUAUAUUGUAGUGUAAACGUUAUCAUGGCUCAACUAUCAAAAGUAUACUCCAUUAGAACUUGGCGAAAUGAAAUCACAACUUCCUACAAGCACGUUUAUGUAUAAAUAUCCCAGUUUGUACAUAGAAUAGACUUUAAGAGCAGGAUAAUAGAUCGCAGAGUUAAACACAAACAAUGAGCAGGCACGGAGAACAUAGAAAGCUGAGGUCUAACUCGAUUGAUUCGAUGCUGAUGAUUUGGGAACAAAAUAUGAGCCCUGAUGAUAGCUGAGUAUUACGCACACUCUGUCAGUGGGUUAAUAACCUUUUUCAACAGGUACCCAAAAUACAUGGAAGCAGCCUGGAGAGCCCACAAGAACUCAUGCACAGACUAACUAUAGAACAAUAAGAGACACAUACAGUGACAUUAUAAGGCACUUAGACACACUAGCUCAUUUAUACAACCAGAGAUUAAUGCUAACAAACACACGCACGCAUGCAUGCACACAAACACACACACACACAUAUAUACAUAUACUAACACACAUACAUAGACACACAUGCCUUUGCUCAGCUUUCAGAUAUGUCAGUGUAUGAGCCUAGAUGAUCAUGGUGCUCCUGACCAAUCGGUGUGACCACUGGCAGGCCUGGGGGACAGUGGCUUUAUGUAUGGGGAUUGUCAUUUAGAAUAGUGACAUCAUUUACAUUGUAUUAUUGACAUAGUGCCAUAUUGCUAUUUACAUAUUAUUCAUCAUAAGUGCUUAGUAAUUUAUUACUACAAUAAUGCUGGACACCUGAAUUUUCCUAUGAUAUACACAUCCCGUACAGCAUAAUAUAUAAGGGACAAACUAUUUUCUGGUUCAGUUGGUUUCACUCUUAUAUUUUCAGACUUUUUAUCUCUUCUCCUCACACACCAUCUCUUUCAAACUUCAAAACCUCCUUGCUUAGACAACUGCUGACUGCAGCGAAGGCCUUGAUCCCCUGCAUUGGAGAGAAACCACUGCCGCCUCUUUUUGAGAGUGGGUAAGCAAGUAGGUGAGAUUCCAAAUAUGGAGCUUGUCUAUGGUUCCACUGGGACCAGUCCUAGAAUACGAUGCCUUACUUUCCAUGACUUCUCAACUGUAUCAUGUCUGAACACCUCGUCAUAUCUCAUGCCAUCAUAUAUAGGAUCUGAUUCUUUUUUUACCCUAAUUUUUUGCUUUCUAUUGACUAAUAUUCUCAAUUUAAAAAGUUGUAUGUCUAUCCCUAUGAUAUUGGAUAAUAAUCAGAGCAGUAUUAAACAAAAGGUAACCCUAGAUGGCUGCCUAGGACCCAGGGGAUAGACAGGGCCCAUGGGGCCCAUUAACCAUCUGUAACCUGCUCAGGCUGCCAUGGGAUCUUAAUCCUUAUCUGAUAAUAUCUCACCUUUACCCACUUCAUUCCUCCCUAUCUCAUUCUUCACUCAUUUGCCUUGUCCAUUGUCCCCUCUAAAAUGUAAUAUUCCGCUGAUAUUGACCAACGCUCUAAUACUGUUUUAUGAUCAUUAAUACAUAUAUAGGUAUAUCAUAUAAACAGAGAUAUAAAAGUCAUAAUAAAAGCAAGUAACCAAGCAUCAGGCUGCAUCACCUGAUGGUAUAAUAUGUUUAAAGCACUAAAUUAAAAUAGGUUUCUUAAGCCAAUCUUCAUAAUUGAAAACAUUAAUAAAUACAAUUAUAAAUAUGCUUGACUGAAACGCAGAUUUGACACAAUGAAUGGAAUAUAAUUAGUACAGUUUUGUUAAAUAAUGAUAUCUACACUAAUGCCAAAUUCAUGCAUACAGUGGAAAAUAUCUACCGAAAAUAUUGGUGAAAUAAACGAAUUUAUCCUUGAAGAAUACCAACUGAUGUUCUCUUCAGAAACCACAAGGUGUCACAGCAAUCUAUUCUAUCUAGCAGGUGAAAGAAGAGGGAACAUUUUAAGAAAACGUGUAUUACAGAUAACCGCAAACAUAAAUGAAAUAUACACUGUGACAAACUGUCCCCUUCUACCAUGCCUGCUGCUCUAUUAGCCCAGAAACAUAUAAUAUAUAUAUAUAUAUAUAUAUAUAUAUAUAUAUAUAUAUAUAUAUAUUGUGAUAAAGUGAAGGCAGAUAGGCCUAUAACAUUUAACCCCAGGGGAAGUAUGUGUAGUAUGUGUUGUAGGCAACACAAACCAAAGUUUAGUUAUGGGCCCCUGGGGUGCAGCAUUUGGAGAGCAGGGUGGGCCAAUGCUCCACUCCGCAGUUUGCAUACAACUGGGAGAAAUAAGUUCCAGGCCAGAGUGUUGAUCUGUCUUCAACCCACUGCUCAGCUGCAGAUAAUCAGCUGCAGCAGUGGGAAUAAACCCCUCCCUGCUAGGCAGGUAAAGGGGGAUUGUUGGCUUCCUCCCUGGAAGCAGGUAGGAGAGACGCUGCUCGAGAGAGAGAGAGAGAGAGAGAGAGAGUGUGUCAAGGAGACUGAGCACUGUGUGUGCAGAAGGAAAGCAAUUAAGGCUGGCUUGGAGCACUGGGAGUGCAGAAGGAAGCAGUCAAGGCUGGCUUGGAGGACUGGGAGUGCAGAAAGGAAAGCAGCAGGCUAACUGAGAGCACUGGAGUGCAGAAAGGAGAGAGAAUUUUGUUUCUUUCUAGAAGGAAUGGAAGCCACAUGCUAACUGAGUGUGGAAUGCAGGGAUCUGACAAAGGCACUAGGUUGGUGAAACCAAUUCUUGUUCUGUUAUAGUUUAAACCCUUGAGAGAUAGGGAACCUGAUGUUAGUUAGUGCUCAGACCGAGCUAGGGUUUUGUUUAUAGGGAUUUGUGUUACUGUUUUUUUUUCAUUUGCUGCUGUAUCUGUGGUGGAGUUUAACAAUAAAGUGCUGGAAUUAAGUUG